Molecule: ribosomal RNA, 253 nt
Filed under: uncultured bacterium
Lineage: Bacteria
Description: partial 16S ribosomal RNA
Rfam family: Bacterial small subunit ribosomal RNA
Source: RNAcentral
UACGGGGGGUGCAAGCGUUGUUCGGAAUUACUGGGCGUAAAGGGCUCGUAGGCGGCCAACUAAGUCAGACGUGAAAUCCCUCGGCUUAACUCCGAAACUGCAUUCGAUACUGCCGUGCUUGAGGACUGGAGAGGAGACUGGAAUUUACGGUGUAGCGGUGAAAUGCGUAGAUAUCGUAAGGAAGACCAGUGGCGAAGGCGGGGCUCUGGACAGUUCCUGACGCUGAGGCACGAAGGCCAGGGGAGCAAACGGG